GACGAACGCUGGCGGCGUGCUUAACACAUGCAAGUCGAACGAGAUCCCAUGUGUAGCACUACACCGGAAGAUCUAGUGGCGAACGGGUGAGGAACACGUGAGAAACGUACCCCAGACUUUGGGAUAACAGUCCGAAAGGACUGCUAAUACCAAAUAACGUCGGAAGUCCGCAUGGACAUCUGACGAAAGGGAUUCCGGUUUGGGAGCGUCUCGCGGACCUAUCAGCUAGUUGGAGGGGUAACGGCCCACCAAGGCAACGACGGGUAGCUGGUCUGAGAGGAUGGUCAGCCACACUGGGACUGAGACACGGCCCAGACUCCUACGGGAGGCAGCAGUGGGGAAUCUUGCGCAAUGGGCGAAAGCCUGACGCAGCAACGCCGCGUGCGGGAAGAAGGCUUUCGGGCUGUAAACCGCUUUCAGUAGGAACGAAACUGACGGUACCUACAGAAGAAGGAGCGGCCAACUAUGUG
This 470-nucleotide ribosomal RNA is filed under the name uncultured bacterium. RNAcentral's name for it is "partial 16S ribosomal RNA". It matches the Rfam family "Bacterial small subunit ribosomal RNA", at positions 28 to 507 of the family's 1533-position model. The record is from RNAcentral.